GGGAGUAUGGUGGAACUCGGCAACAUUGUGGGCUCCAAACCCGCCGAUCUGGGUUCAAAUCCCAGUGCUCCCACCA
RNAcentral lists this transfer RNA (76 nucleotides) under Marine Group III euryarchaeote CG-Bathy1. RNAcentral describes it as "tRNA-Trp". It matches the Rfam family "tRNA". Rfam says of the family: Transfer RNA (tRNA) molecules are approximately 80 nucleotides in length. Their secondary structure includes four short double-helical elements and three loops (D, anti-codon, and T loops). RNAcentral also lists the same sequence under 1 other name. The record is from RNAcentral. Lineage: Archaea; Methanobacteriati; Thermoplasmatota; Thermoplasmata; Candidatus Thermoprofundales.